UGAGGAAUAUUGGUCAAUGGACGCAAGUCUGAACCAGCCAAGCAGCGUGCAGGAUGACGGCUCUAUGGGUUGUAAACUUCUCUUGUUUGGGUAUAAUCGACAUUACGUGUAAUGUUUUGCAUGUUCCAUUCGAAUAAGGACCGGCUAAUUCCGUGCCAGCCGCCGCGGUAAUACGGAAGGUCCAGGCGUCAUCUGGAUUUAUUGGGUUUAGAGGGAGUGUAGGCGGUUGGUUAAGCGUGUUGUGAAAUGUAGGAGCUCAACAUCAGACUUGCAGCGCGAACUGUCUGACUUGAGUACACACAACGUAGGCGGAAUUCAUGGUGUAGCGGUGAAAUGCUUAGAUAUCAUGAAGAACUCAGAUUGCGGAGGCAGCUUACGGGAGUGUUACUGACGCUUAAGCUCGAAGGUGCGGGUAUCGAACAGG
RNAcentral lists this ribosomal RNA (424 nucleotides) under Verrucomicrobiota bacterium. RNAcentral's name for it is "Verrucomicrobia bacterium partial 16S ribosomal RNA". It matches the Rfam family "Bacterial small subunit ribosomal RNA", at positions 355 to 776 of the family's 1533-position model. The record is from RNAcentral. Lineage: Bacteria; Pseudomonadati; Verrucomicrobiota.